Schistosoma mattheei is the source of this 45-nucleotide non-coding RNA. NCBI's taxonomy places the organism in Eukaryota, Metazoa, Platyhelminthes, Trematoda, Strigeidida, Schistosomatidae. The record is from Rfam.
AUCCAGCCGACGAGUCCCGAAUAGGAUGAAACGCGUGUUCUGGAU